CGCGGAGUGGAGCAGUCCGGUAGCUCGUUGGGCUCAUAACCCAAAGGUCGUAGGUUCAAAUCCUGCCUCCGCAACCA
RNAcentral lists this transfer RNA (77 nucleotides) under Firmicutes bacterium CAG:137. Its description in RNAcentral is "transfer RNA-Met(CAT)". It matches the Rfam family "tRNA". From Rfam's summary of the family: Transfer RNA (tRNA) molecules are approximately 80 nucleotides in length. RNAcentral also lists the same sequence under 9 other names. Lineage: Bacteria; Bacillati; Bacillota. The record is from RNAcentral.